This 69-nucleotide transfer RNA is filed under the name Ventrifossa garmani (Sagami grenadier). Its description in RNAcentral is "tRNA-Asp". It matches the Rfam family "tRNA". From Rfam's summary of the family: Transfer RNA (tRNA) molecules are approximately 80 nucleotides in length. Their secondary structure includes four short double-helical elements and three loops (D, anti-codon, and T loops). Lineage: Eukaryota; Metazoa; Chordata; Actinopteri; Gadiformes; Macrouridae. The record is from RNAcentral.
AAGCUUCUAGUAAAACUAUUACACGGCCUUGUCAAGGCCGACUUGUGGGUUAAAACCCCGCGUAGCUUG